AGUGAACGCUGGCGGUAGGCCUAACACAUGCAAGUCGAACGGCAGCACAGUAAUAUCUUGCUUGUACGGGUGGCGAGUGGCGGACGGGUGAGGAAUACAUCGGAAUCUACUUUUUCGUGGGCGAUAACGUAGGGGAACUUAUGCUAAUACCGCAUACGACCUACGGGUGAAAGCAUGGGAUCUUCGGACCUUUCGCGAUUGAAUCAGCCGAUGUCGGAUUAGCUAGUUGGCGGGGUAAAGGCCCACCAAGGCGACGAUCCGUAGCUGGUCUGAGAGAAUGAUCGGCCACACUGGAACUGAGACACGGUCCAGACUCCUACGGGAGGCAGCAGUGGGGAAUAUUGGGCAAUGGGCGCAAGCCUGAUCCAGCGAUACCGCGUGGGUGAAGAAGGCCUUCGGGUUGUAAAGCCCUUUUGUUGGGAAAGAAAAGCAGCAGGUUAAUACCCCGCUGUUCUGACGGUACCCAAUGAAUAAGCACCGGCUAACUUCGUG
RNAcentral lists this ribosomal RNA (492 nucleotides) under uncultured bacterium. Its description in RNAcentral is "partial 16S ribosomal RNA". It matches the Rfam family "Bacterial small subunit ribosomal RNA", at positions 29 to 507 of the family's 1533-position model. The record is from RNAcentral.